GUGGGGAAUCUUCCGCAAUGGACGAAAGUCUGACGGAGCGACGCCGCGUGAGUGAAGAAGGCCUUCGGGUCGUAAAGCUCUGUCAUCAGGGACGAACGGCCGGUGGAGUGGAAAGCCACCGGAUUGACGGUACCUGAGAAGGAAGCCACGGCUAACUACGUGCCAGCAGCCGCGGUAAUACGUAGGUGGCAAGCGUUGUCCGGAAUUAUUGGGCGUAAAGCGCGCGCAGGUGGGAUCUGAAGUCCUUUUUGAAAGUUCGGAGCUCAACUCCGUGAUGGGAGGGAAACUGGGAUUCUUGAGUACCGGAGAGGAAAGCGGAAUUCCCCGUGUAGCGGUGAAAUGCGUAGAUAUGGGGAGGAACACCAGUGGCGAAGGCGGCUUUCUGGACGGUGUCUGACACUGAGGCGCGAAAGCUAGGGGAGCGAACGGGAUUAGAAACCCCAGUAGCC
Molecule: ribosomal RNA, 449 nt
Filed under: uncultured bacterium
Lineage: Bacteria
Description: partial 16S ribosomal RNA
Rfam family: Bacterial small subunit ribosomal RNA
Source: RNAcentral